Molecule: transfer RNA, 70 nt
Filed under: Agrilus adelphinus
Lineage: Eukaryota; Metazoa; Arthropoda; Insecta; Coleoptera; Buprestidae
Description: tRNA-Ser
Source: RNAcentral
AGUUAAUGAACUUGAACUAAGUGUAUAUUUUGAAAAUAUAGUAAAGAAGUAAUAAAUCUUCUAUUAACUU